UGGAGUUGGGAUAACCUGUGCUGGGGACAGGCUGGAGUUGGGAUAAGACACGGCUGGGGACACUGAGUUGGGAUAUAAUCUGGACGGGACAGCCGGAGUGGGAAUACCCGGACUGAAGGAACGGCUGGAGUUGGGAUAACCUGGGCUGGGGACACGGGGACAGUGGUGGCUCUGCAGCCCAGGCCGGGCCGUGUCUGUGUCCGUGUCCCCUCCAUGGUGUCCCCGUGCCCGAGCAGGCGAGGACAAGGACUACACCAUCUGGCUGGCUCACUCCAGCGACCCCAGUGCUCCCAGUGAUGGCUGCGUGCUGGGCUACAAGGAGCAGUUCCGGCGCCUGCGCAAGGCCUCGCUCUGCCGCAACGGGCGCGGCUUCAGCGCCAGCCCCCAGCGCUCCGUGUGCCCCUGCACCCUGCAGGACUUCCUGUGUGAUUUCGGGUACUACCGCCCGGAGAACCAAUCCCCAUUCCCUUCCCAUCCCACGGGAUCCCAUCCCAUUCCCUGUUCCCACAGGAUGGAUCCCAUCCCAUUCCC
RNAcentral lists this long non-coding RNA (531 nucleotides) under Manacus vitellinus (golden-collared manakin). RNAcentral's name for it is "lncRNA (ENSMVIG00005016216.1)". Lineage: Eukaryota; Metazoa; Chordata; Aves; Passeriformes; Pipridae. The record is from RNAcentral.